Molecule: ribosomal RNA, 600 nt
Filed under: uncultured Methylibium sp.
Lineage: Bacteria; Pseudomonadati; Pseudomonadota; Betaproteobacteria; Burkholderiales; Sphaerotilaceae
Description: bacterial SSU rRNA
Rfam family: Bacterial small subunit ribosomal RNA
Source: RNAcentral
CNGCNGUCGACGAUUCCUACGGGAGGCAGCAGUGGGGAAUUUUGGACAAUGGGCGCAAGCCUGAUCCAGCAAUGCCGCGUGCGGGAAGAAGGCCUUCGGGUUGUGAACCGCUUUUGUCAGGGAAGAAACGGCUCUAGCCAAUACCUGGAGCUAAUGACGGUACCUGAAGAAUAAGCACCGGCUAACUACGUGCCAGCAGCCGCGGUAAUACGUAGGGUGCAAGCGUUAAUCGGAAUUACUGGGCGUAAAGCGUGCGCAGGCGGUUAUGCAAGACAGAUGUGAAAUCCCCGGGCUUAACCUGGGAACUGCAUUUGUGACUGUAUGGCUAGAGUACGGUAGAGGGGGAUGGAAUUCCGCGUGUAGCAGUGAAAUGCGUAGAUAUGCGGAGGAACACCGAUGGCGAAGGCAGUCCCCUGGACCUGUACUGACGCUCAUGUACGAAAGCGUGGGGAGCAAACAGGAUUAGAUACCCUGGUAGUCCACGCCCUAAACGAUGUCAACUGGUUGUUGGACGGCUUGCUGUUCAGUAACGAAGCUAACGCGUGAAGUUGACCGCCUGGGGAGUACGGCCGCAAGGUUGAAACUCAAAUGAAUUGACGG